Molecule: ribosomal RNA, 253 nt
Filed under: uncultured bacterium
Lineage: Bacteria
Description: partial 16S ribosomal RNA
Rfam family: Bacterial small subunit ribosomal RNA
Source: RNAcentral
UACGGAGGGUGCAAGCGUUAUCCGGAUUCACUGGGUUUAAAGGGUGCGUAGGCGGGCAGGUAAGUCCGUGGUGAAAUCUCUGAGCUUAACUCAGAAACUGCCAUGGAUACUAUUUGUCUUGAAUAUUGUGGAGGUAAGCGGAAUAUGUCAUGUAGCGGUGAAAUGCUUAGAUAUGACAUAGAACACCAAUUGCGAAGGCAGCUUACUACACAGUUAUUGACGCUGAGGAGCGAAAGCAUGGGGAGCGAACAGG